This is an RNA transcript of Amaranthus tricolor (Joseph's coat), 1099 nucleotides long. It is a transcript of the gene named UDP-galactose/UDP-glucose transporter 3-like, with no coding region annotated. The transcript is spliced from 5 exons. The record is from RefSeq and is a predicted model, not a curated record. NCBI's taxonomy places the organism in Eukaryota, Viridiplantae, Streptophyta, Magnoliopsida, Caryophyllales, Amaranthaceae.
CUAGAAUUCCCAUUUCCCUCUCAAUUCCCUCUCAAUUCUCUUUCUUGCUCUCACACUGAACUCUAACCGUUAAAACUCUACAAACCUCUUCCUCCACCUUCGCUGCCGCACUCUCGCACACCCCGCCACCGCCGGCUUCUCCUCCAUCACAGACGGACACUCGAACUCGGUGCUGCACUGCUGGCUGCUGCUACCCUGUGGGCUGUGGGUUGUUCGAAUUGAAUCAAAGAAUCCCUAAAAAUCGUAAUUUUUGAUUUUGUUUAAGGGGACUCAUUCAUUGUAAGAGACGAAGAAAAGAGGUGGAAGGUCACACAGUUGCCCGAUGAAACUGUCAGAAUUCUGCACCUGAACUUUGCUGACCAGCCCUCCUUUCAUGAGUUGUCCAGAGCUGAUACUCGUAUCCUAGGAAGAAUAAAGGCUAGAAAUAGAAUAUUCAUACAAGGAUCUUUCCAUCAAGACCUUAAGUGCCUUUUGCAAAUCACAGAAGAUACCCAAGAAAUGAUGCUGAAGUGAUGCUUAUGGGAACUUUGGUAUAUGACAUUAGAUACUCAUUCUCGGAAUAUUUGUGCACACUUCUUGUUGCUGGAGGUGUGUCGAUUUUUGCACUCUCUAAGCUCAAUAGACGAGUUCAAAGACCAUUAAUAAGCUGGCAAGUCCGAAUGCACCUCUUGGAUAUGGGCUUUGUUUCUUGAACCUUGCUUUUGACGGGUUUACCAAUGCUACACAGGAUUCAAUUACAGCAAGUUUUCCCCUGGGGCUCCUUCAACUUAUUCUCAAGAGAGCGUUGAUCAAGUUCGAGAUUUAUGGAUUUCUUACGUUGUCAAACAUAGGCAACAAAAAUUAGAGAAGGAAGCAGAAGAUUUGGAAGAUGUGUUAUAAGAUCAUAUCGAUGGAAAUUUUUAGUCUAAUUAUAUGAUGAAAUGAUUUAUAAUUUUUGCUAUUGGUAUAGCAUGUAUGAACGCGUAUAUUUAAUGGUAUAUAUGGAUUAGUAUAAAUUAUAUCGUAUUGGUAUUUUUAUUUAUUAAUAUAGGUAUUUUGUCAUAUAAAUGGUGGUUUAAAAAUAAAAGGAAAUUGCAAUUGUACGACUUUUUUAUUAGUA